GACGAACGCUGGCGGCGUGCUUAACACAUGCAAGUCGAACGGAAAGGCCUGCUUUCCCUUGUGGAUUGCGGGUACUCGAGUGGCGAACGGGUGAGUAACACGUGAGUGAUCUGCCCCCAACUUGGGUAUAAGCCGGGGAAACUGGGUCUAAUUCCCGAUAGGACUGCAGGGUGGUGCCGGGGUUGGAAAACGAUUUUCUAGUGGUUGGGGAUGAGCUCGCGGCCUAUCAGCUUGUUGGUGGGGUAAUGGCCUACCAAGGCGGCGACGGGUAGCCGGCCUGAGAGGGUGGACGGCCACAUUGGGACUGAGAUACGGCCCAGACUCCUACGGGAGGCAGCAGUGGGGAAUAUUGCACAAUGGGCGGAAGCCUGAUGCAGCGACGCCGCGUGGGGGAUGACGGCCUUCGGGUUGUAAACUCCUUUCGACCGCGAGGAAGCCACCUGGUUGGAAGGGUGGUGACGGUAGUGGUAGAAGAAGCACCGGCUAACUACGUG
RNAcentral lists this ribosomal RNA (494 nucleotides) under uncultured bacterium. RNAcentral describes it as "partial 16S ribosomal RNA". It matches the Rfam family "Bacterial small subunit ribosomal RNA", at positions 28 to 507 of the family's 1533-position model. The record is from RNAcentral.